UGCUGUUGGAAAAAUGGUGCCAAUAGACUUGCUUGACGCAGGGUUGCCACAGACCUUCAAUUUGUGAAAAACACAACAUCUGCAAAGUAGCAGUAAAAUGACAC
Molecule: non-coding RNA, 104 nt
Organism: Ceratotherium simum simum (southern white rhinoceros)
Lineage: Eukaryota; Metazoa; Chordata; Mammalia; Perissodactyla; Rhinocerotidae
Source: RefSeq, a predicted model, not a curated record